Molecule: ribosomal RNA, 252 nt
Filed under: uncultured bacterium
Lineage: Bacteria
Description: partial 16S ribosomal RNA
Rfam family: Bacterial small subunit ribosomal RNA
Source: RNAcentral
UACGAAGGGGGCUAGCGUUGCUCGGAAUUACUGGGCGUAAAGCGCACGUAGGCGGCUUUCUAAGUCGGGGGUGAAAUCCUGGAGCUCAACUCCAGAACUGCCUUCGAUACUGGGAGCUCGAGUUCGGGAGAGGUGAGUGGAACUGCGAGUGUAGAGGUGAAAUUCGUAGAUAUUCGCAAGAACACCAGUGGCGAAGGCGGCUCACUGGCCCGAUACUGACGCUGAGGUGCGAAAGCGUGGGGAGCAAACAGG